This 243-nucleotide ribosomal RNA is filed under the name uncultured Actinomycetales bacterium. RNAcentral's name for it is "partial 16S ribosomal RNA". It matches the Rfam family "Bacterial small subunit ribosomal RNA", at positions 89 to 334 of the family's 1533-position model. The record is from RNAcentral. Lineage: Bacteria; Bacillati; Actinomycetota; Actinomycetes; Actinomycetales.
ACUCGAGUGGCGAACGGGUGAGUAACACGUGGGUGAUCUGCCCUGCACUUCGGGAUAAGCCUGGGAAACUGGGUCUAAUACUGGAUAUGACCUUUCUCCUUAUGGGGUUUGGUGGAAAGUUUUUCGGUGUAGGAUGAGCCCGCGGCCUAUCAGCUUGUUGGUGGGGUAAUGGCCUACCAAGGCGGCGACGGGUAGCCGGCCUGAGAGGGUGUACGGCCACAUUGGGACUGAGAUACGGCCCAG